UGCUGUCCUGUGAACUGAUAACAACAAUGAAGUGAGCCUGAAAGAUAGGGGGAGGUGGUCAGAGGAUGGGAUGUGUGAAGUCAAGACUUCAGAGGUGAUCUGAUAUUGAUGAGAAAAAGUCAAGACCUUGGAAGUAACUGAGAUAGAGAGGGUGAGGUAUUCAUUAAAAUGAGGAGUCAAGGAUCUAUGGGGCUGCAAUUACUCGUGUAAGUGUUGAAAUGAGAAUGACAAGCAUAGGAGUGAGAAG
This 247-nucleotide long non-coding RNA is filed under the name Homo sapiens (human). RNAcentral describes it as "LHRI_LNC1159.1". The record is from RNAcentral. Lineage: Eukaryota; Metazoa; Chordata; Mammalia; Primates; Hominidae.